UACGUAGGGUGCAAGCGUUGUCCGGAAUUAUUGGGCGUAAAGAGCUCGUAGGCGGUUUGUUGCGUCGGCUGUGAAAUCCCGAGGCUCAACCUCGGGUCUGCAGUCGAUACGAGCAAACUAGAGUGUUGCAGGGGAGACUGGAAUUCCUGGUGUAGCGGUGAAAUGCGUAGAUAUACGGAGGAACACCAGCGGCGAAGGCGGGUAGCUGGGCCAACACUGACGCUGAUGCGCGAAAGCUAGGGUAGCAAACGGG
This 253-nucleotide ribosomal RNA is filed under the name uncultured bacterium. Its description in RNAcentral is "partial 16S ribosomal RNA". It matches the Rfam family "Bacterial small subunit ribosomal RNA", at positions 524 to 776 of the family's 1533-position model. The record is from RNAcentral.